This 790-nucleotide ribosomal RNA is filed under the name uncultured Bacillota bacterium. Its description in RNAcentral is "bacterial SSU rRNA". It matches the Rfam family "Bacterial small subunit ribosomal RNA", at positions 72 to 896 of the family's 1533-position model. The record is from RNAcentral. Lineage: Bacteria; Bacillati; Bacillota.
AAAGCCCGCAAGGGUGAGUAAAGUGGCGUACGGGUGAGUAACACGUGGAUGAUCUACCUCUUAGUGGGGAAUAACCCUGGGAAACCGGGGCUAAUACCGCAUAAUCUCGAGAGAGGAAAGCAGCAAUGCGCUGAGAGAGGAGUCCGCGGCCGAUUAGCUAGUUGGCAGGGUAAAAGCCUACCAAGGCAAAGAUCGGUAGCCGGCCUGAGAGGGCACACGGCCACACUGGCACUGAGACACGGGCCAGACUCCUACGGGAGGCAGCAGUGGGGAAUCUUGCACAAUGGGGGAAACCCUGAUGCAGCGACGCCGCGUGAGCGAUGAAGCCCUUCGGGGUGUAAAGCUCUUUCGGCAGGGAAGAUUAUGACGGUACCUGCAGAAGCAGCUGCGGCUAACUACGUGCCAGCAGCCGCGGUAAUACGUAGGCAGCAAGCGUUGUUCGGAGUUACUGGGCGUAAAGGGUGUGUAGGCGGUUGCUUAAGUUUGGUGUGAAAUCUCCCGGCUCAACUGGGAUGGUGCGCCGAAUACUGAGUGACUCGAGUGCGGGAGAGGAAAGUGGAAUUCCUGGUGUAGCGGUGAAAUGCGUAGAUAUCAGGAGGAACACCGGUGGUGUAGACGGCUUUCUGGACCGUAACUGACGCUGAAACACGAAAGCGUGGGUAGCAAACAGGAUUAGAUACCCUGGUAGUCCACGCCCUAAACGAUGCAUAUUUGGUGUGGGUCAUUCAGUUGAUCCGUGCCGGAGCUAACGCGUUAAAUAUGCCGCCUGGGGAGUACAGUCGCAAGGCUG